GACGGGGCCCGCACAAGCGGUGGAUUAUGUGGAUUAAUUCGAUGCAACGCGAAAACCUUACCUACCCUUGACAUGCUAGGAACUUGCCAGAGAUGGCUUGGUGCCCGAAAGGGAACCUAGGCACAGGUGCUGCAUGGCUGUCGUCAGCUCGUGUCGUGAGAUGUUGGGUUAAGUCCCGCGACGAGCGCAACCCUUGUCAUUAAUUGCCAUCAUUCAGUUGGGCACUUUAAUGAGACUGCCGGUGACAAACCGGAGGAAGGUGGGGAUGACGUCAAGUCCUCAUGGCCCUUACAUCCCGGGCUACACACGUGCUACAAUGGCAGGUACAGAGGGCUGCGAAGCCGCGAGGUGGAGCGAAUCCCAGAAAACCUGUCUCAGUCCGGAUUGAAGUCUGCAACUCGACUUCAUGAAGGCGGAAUCGCUAGUAACCGCGAAUCAGCAGGUCGCGGUGAAUACGUUCCCGGGCCUU
This 469-nucleotide ribosomal RNA is filed under the name uncultured Methylophilaceae bacterium. RNAcentral describes it as "bacterial SSU rRNA". It matches the Rfam family "Bacterial small subunit ribosomal RNA", at positions 916 to 1381 of the family's 1533-position model. Lineage: Bacteria; Pseudomonadati; Pseudomonadota; Betaproteobacteria; Nitrosomonadales; Methylophilaceae. The record is from RNAcentral.